CUCCAAUGCUCAAGUCAGAAAAACAGAGAACAAAAAAGCAGCAACGAAUUCUCUGAGAGGAGUUUUAUCAGACUUAUCUGGGUCUUCGGGACUCUAGUUGUUUAUAUAGAAGAAUGUCAAACAGCUAGAUUGUUAGCUGUGAGAUUGCAUGAUCUCAAGAUUGCUGGGCCGUUGGACAUGCCAAACUGGGUGAGAUAACUCUGCCUUUAAAUACUCCC
This 218-nucleotide long non-coding RNA is filed under the name Elaeis guineensis (African oil palm). RNAcentral's name for it is "long non-coding RNA (EGUI_LNC078110)". The record is from RNAcentral. Lineage: Eukaryota; Viridiplantae; Streptophyta; Magnoliopsida; Arecales; Arecaceae.